Tupaia belangeri chinensis (Chinese tree shrew) is the source of this 495-nucleotide long non-coding RNA. RefSeq lists it as uncharacterized. The record is from RefSeq and is a predicted model, not a curated record. The transcript has 3 exons. Lineage: Eukaryota; Metazoa; Chordata; Mammalia; Scandentia; Tupaiidae.
GCAUCACGUCCUCGACUGUCCAAGAGGAGGGGUCCCGGCCGCUCAGUCUAGAGGCAUCCCGGCUUUCCAGGGUCGAUCUCGCUUUGGAAAUCAUCAGAAAGAAGUUUGCCUUGAGCCCGUGAUUCAGCCUGGACCUGAGACGGGACACUGAGAUCCGUUCAUGUUUGACUCCUUCUCAACAUUCGAGUCUCCUCAGAUAUGGACUCCUCCAAGAGGCCUUCCUGGAUCUCCUAGUGAAAAUACUGCCCCCUAUAGCCUCUCUCAAUCCAAUUACCCUAGUUUUCUUUUCUUACUCCAUACCAUACGCCAUCACCUAAAAUAACUUCAUGCAUUCAUUUACUUUCUGUGUAUGCUGUCCCCCCCAGGACGUGGCUCUCUCUUGCUCCUCGCUACGUCUCCGACAUGCGGAAGAGGCGGCGCGCACCAGCAGAUGUUCGGUCGUGUGUGAAGUGGCUGGUCGGACCUGACAGCCCCUCAUGCAUUCUCCCGGCUCCC